This is a non-coding RNA of Gymnothorax javanicus (giant moray), 73 nucleotides long. NCBI's taxonomy places the organism in Eukaryota, Metazoa, Chordata, Actinopteri, Anguilliformes, Muraenidae. The record is from the annotation of a GenBank genome assembly.
AUUUCUUUGGUGCAAUGGAUGACGCGUCUGACUACGAAUCGGAAGAUUCUAGGUUCGACUCCUGGCUGGUUCA